ACGUAGGGUGCGAGCGUUAAUCGGAAUUACUAGGCGUAAAGCGUGCGCAGGCGGCGGCCCAAGUCGGGUGUGAAAUCCCCGGGCUUAACCUGGGAAUUGCGCUUGAAACUAGGUCGCUAGAGUGUGGCAGAGGGGGGUGGAAUUCCUGGUGUAGCAGUGAAAUGCGUAGAUAUCAGGAGGAAUACCGAUGGCGAAGGCAGGUCUCUGGGCUAUAACUGACGCUCAUGCACGAAAGCGUGGGGAGCAAACAGGA
This 253-nucleotide ribosomal RNA is filed under the name uncultured prokaryote. RNAcentral's name for it is "partial 16S ribosomal RNA". It matches the Rfam family "Bacterial small subunit ribosomal RNA", at positions 525 to 777 of the family's 1533-position model. The record is from RNAcentral.